RNAcentral lists this small RNA (736 nucleotides) under Pongo abelii (Sumatran orangutan). RNAcentral describes it as "retained intron". The record is from RNAcentral. Lineage: Eukaryota; Metazoa; Chordata; Mammalia; Primates; Hominidae.
CUUUCCUGUUCUCCACGUUACUGCUUUCUUCGAGACCCUUUUCUGGAGUUACUCCCAGCAAGCUGUUACUCAGACGUCCUGUUGGUUAAUAAAGCUGUCCCUGCAGCAGUUCUGCUAUUGUAUAGGCUCAGUCUUAAAAUAGUGGGCUUGAUGUGACGUAUUUCUUCAUAAUAUUGUGUAUGUGCAGCCUCUGUGUAAUUGCAUUAUGCACCUUUAUUGCAUAGUUGAAGCAGUGGCAGGAAAGGAUGCCAUGUGUGUUACUGGGAGAUUAUUCAGUGGGUAUUUUUUCUCACUCUUCCGUUUCAGUACCAGUGAAGGACAAGAAACUUCUGGAGGUCAAACUGGGGGAGCUGCCAAGCUGGAUCUUGAUGCGGGACUUCAGCCCUAGUGGCAUUUUCGGAGCGUUUCAAAGAGGUUACUACCGGUACUACAACAAGUACAUCAAUGUGAAGAAGGGGAGCAUCUCGGGGAUUACCAUGGUGCUGGCAUGCUACGUGCUCUUCAGCUACUCCUUUUCCUACAAGCAUCUCAGUGAGUGCCUCUGCGGCGUCUUGCCUUCAGUUCCCAUGAGAGGGUGGUGGUGACUGAUUUCAUUAGAUACAGCAGCCAACCUUCUUCUGAGGCUGAGGGACCUUUAGUAAGUUCCUUAUGUUUCUACCUAAAAGAAUUGGAGGGACCUAUCAGAGUACAGUAUGUGGGAUAUGGUUUGAAAUGAGAAAAUUGUGACAAAGAGAAU